UUCGGCGGGCCCGCCAUUCAUGGCCGCCGGGGGCUCUCAGCCCCGGGCCCGCGCCCGCCGGAGACACCACGAACUCUGUCUGAUCUAGUGAAGUCUGAGUUGAUUGUAUCGCAAUCAGUUAAAACUUUCAACAAUGGAUCUCUUGGUUCCGGCAUCGAUGAAGAACGCAGCGAAAUGCGAUAACUAGUGUGAAUUGCAGAAUUCCGUGAAUCAUCGAGUCUUUGAACGCACAUUGCGCCCCCUGGUAUUCCGGGGGGCAUGCCUGUCCGAGCGUCAUUGCUGCCCAUCAAGCACGGCUUGUGUGUUGGGUCGUCGUCCCCUCUCCGGGGGGGACGGGCCCCAAAGGCAGCGGCGGCACCGCGUCCGAUCCUCGAGCGUAUGGGGCUUUGUCACCCGCUCUGUAGGCCCGGCCGGCGCUUGCCGAACGCAAAUCAAUCUUUUUCCAGGUUGACCUCGGAUCAGGUAGGGAUACCCGCUGAACUUAAGCAU
Molecule: ribosomal RNA, 489 nt
Filed under: Aspergillus oryzae
Lineage: Eukaryota; Fungi; Ascomycota; Eurotiomycetes; Eurotiales; Aspergillaceae
Description: eukaryotic LSU rRNA
Rfam family: 5.8S ribosomal RNA (bases 123-276)
Source: RNAcentral